Long non-coding RNA from Piliocolobus tephrosceles (Ugandan red Colobus), 1904 nucleotides. RefSeq lists it as uncharacterized. NCBI's taxonomy places the organism in Eukaryota, Metazoa, Chordata, Mammalia, Primates, Cercopithecidae. The transcript has 3 exons. The record is from RefSeq and is a predicted model, not a curated record.
CACAAAGUUGUAAUUGUGUCAUGGGCGAACCCCACGCAGCCGCCACGACCUCCCCGCUUCCAACGAGUCAGUUGUAGCCAAUCUAGGGGACUCAUUCAUAUCACGUGAUCUUUGUUGACUUACGUCAGGCAUGGCUCCACUGUACUCUCAGGCUCCUGGGACCCCGCCCUUCCAGUUCGGCAAGGACCUUGGAACGUGACAGAGGCUGACUCUGAUUCUGACCGCUGGUUGGUUGAUGGCCAUGUCUAUCGAGAAAAAGGUAGUCUCUGGGAUGGAGUAACCUGCAUAGUUCAACCUGUGGGUCCUCCUCUGACACUCUUCAAAAACCGGAAAUACCAGACACUGAAGCAGGAAUGCAUCAAAGACAGACUUUUCUGUUAUCCACGAUUUCUGUCUUAGAAUGAUUAUUUUCUAUAACUGACUGCUUCCUGGAAAGGUGUGUGGAAACAUUCCCAGGACAAAUAACUCCCAAGUUAUCUCAGACAGUGGAAGACUUACAUCUUGGUGCAUUGGUCAGGAAGAAGAGAAUUCAUCGUAAGGGUAAGAGUGAACCUUUAACUCUUUACUUUCAUUUCUCAAACUUAUUAUCUAUUCCAAUCUAGUUACUUUUUAAAGGACUAAGUGGCUAAGUUGGCUGGACUUCAUGGGUCAAUAGGGAUUUCCGGAAGGGGACAUUCCCCUUAUCCAGAAUGAGUCAUAGCUGCAAGCUAAGGGAUUGAACUUCAACCAAUCAAAGGGGACUUUCCCCUAAGACAAAAUGAGUCACAGCUGCAAACAAAGGGAUUGAAACUUCAAUCAUAUAGGGAGUUUACGCUGUUGCUGCGGCCUGACGUUUUUAACCAAUCAGGCCCAUCGAUCUACAAGCAGAUGGAAAACAAGCUAAUCCUAUAGGGGAGAAAAAGGAAAAGGGAGGAGUCAUAAGGGGAUUUGAGCAUAGGACACCCAAGCCAGAAAAGCAACCCUUCUAGGUCCCUUUCCACUAUGUGGAAGCUUUACUUUUGCUUUACUUUCACUUUUGCUUUAAUAAACCUUGCUGCUGCACUCUCUUUGGGUCCUUGUGUUUCUCUAAUCAAGCUGUAACACUUGCUGCUGCAGUCCACAGCUUCAUUCCUUGAAGCACAUAAGACCAUGAACCCUUCCAUGGAGAAGAAGCUUUGAUGGGAAGAAGACUUCUUGUCUUAUCUUCACCGAGGGCCUAAGCCCUUGUGUGGGAUUGGAAAGCGGUCUUGGGGCUACGGAAGAUUUCUGGCUGGUGCUAUGUCCCAGUGUUAUCUGAAGGCUGUUAGACUAACUCCGUUCCAUGACAGCCCAUCAGGGUCAGCAAAAGGACUUCUUCCUAUCACAUUUUCCUUUUUUCUGUCACAGCUAUCAUGUCUCCUACUCCUUCUUUGAAUACAAUGUUGCGGGUGUUUUUGCAACCUAGAGAUGUCCGCUUGCUGGGUAGUUAAUAGGUGUCUUAGUAAUCAGGAAUGUAAUUCAAAGAGUUGUUGUCUUGUGAUUUCCUAGAAACAGGAGAAUUCAGUAUUUCAAUCUAAGUUUUCACCUAAUAAUGUCUAUUCUAUCCCUCAAUGAUGAACAUUCAUAGCACUGAAUGGGAGAAUAUUUCACCCCUAGUGAAUAUCCUCCUCCAAUUUUAGGUUGUUUUUUCCUUCAAGUAGGAGUUCAGCAUUGUCCAGUGAAUUUAAACAGUUCUUUUAUGAAACAAAUUAAUUUUCUUAUGCUGGAAGACAUGUUAUAGGGAUAGCCUAUCAAACCCAAACCGCUCUUUCUAACUUUUGCCUGAGAAGAAUUGAGUCAUGGAUUUUUACCUAAUAUUUCUUUUUUAAAAUAUUUAUUUAUUUGUUAUUUAUUAUCUAUUUAUUUAAUUUAUUCUUUGAGACAGAGUCUCUCUGUCACCCCUCCUG